This 248-nucleotide ribosomal RNA is filed under the name uncultured Anaerolineaceae bacterium. Its description in RNAcentral is "partial 16S ribosomal RNA". It matches the Rfam family "Bacterial small subunit ribosomal RNA", at positions 796 to 1041 of the family's 1533-position model. Lineage: Bacteria; Bacillati; Chloroflexota; Anaerolineae; Anaerolineales; Anaerolineaceae. The record is from RNAcentral.
CUAGCCGUAAACGAUGUCAACUUGGCGUUGGCGGAGUCAAAUCUGCCAGUGCCGCAGCUAACGCGAUAAGUUGACCGCCUGAGGACUACGGCCGCAAGGUUAAAACUCAAAAGAAUUGACGGGGGCCCGCACAAGCAGCGGAGCGUGUGGUUUAAUUCGAUGCUACACGAAGAACCUUACCAGGGUUUGACAUGCAAGUGGUAGGAAACUGAAAAGGGACCGACCCUUCGGGGAGCUUGCACAGGUGC